Molecule: ribosomal RNA, 253 nt
Filed under: uncultured bacterium
Lineage: Bacteria
Description: partial 16S ribosomal RNA
Rfam family: Bacterial small subunit ribosomal RNA
Source: RNAcentral
UACGUAGGGUGCAAGCGUUGUCCGGAAUCAUUGGGCGUAAAGCGCGCGUAGGUGGCCUCGUAAGUCCGCUGUGAAAGUCCAAGGCUCAACCUUGGAAAGCCGGUGGAUACUGUGGGGCUAGAGUACGGAAGAGGCGAGUGGAAUUCCCGGUGUAGCGGUGAAAUGCGCAGAUAUCGGGAGGAACACCAAUGGCGAAGGCAGCUCGCUGGGACGUUACUGACGCUGAGACGCGAAAGCGUGGGGAGCAAACAGG